GCCUGAGUGGUGAAAUGGCAGACGCGCUGGACUCAAAAUCCAGUGUCCGUGAGGACGUGUCGGUUCGACCCCGACCUCAGGCACCA
This 86-nucleotide transfer RNA is filed under the name Clostridiales bacterium. RNAcentral describes it as "tRNA-Leu". It matches the Rfam family "tRNA". From Rfam's summary of the family: Transfer RNA (tRNA) molecules are approximately 80 nucleotides in length. Lineage: Bacteria; Bacillati; Bacillota; Clostridia; Eubacteriales. The record is from RNAcentral.